RNAcentral lists this transfer RNA (72 nucleotides) under Camelus dromedarius (Arabian camel). It matches the Rfam family "tRNA". From Rfam's summary of the family: Transfer RNA (tRNA) molecules are approximately 80 nucleotides in length. Their secondary structure includes four short double-helical elements and three loops (D, anti-codon, and T loops). Further hydrogen bonds mediate the characteristic L-shaped molecular structure. tRNAs have two regions of fundamental functional importance: the anti-codon, which is responsible for specific mRNA codon recognition, and the 3' end, to which the tRNAs corresponding amino acid is attached (by aminoacyl-tRNA synthetases). tRNAs cope with the degeneracy of the genetic code in two manners: having more than one tRNA (with a specific anti-codon) for a particular amino acid; and 'wobble' base-pairing, i.e. permitting non-standard base-pairing at the 3rd anti-codon position. Lineage: Eukaryota; Metazoa; Chordata; Mammalia; Artiodactyla; Camelidae. The record is from Rfam by way of RNAcentral. RNAcentral also lists the same sequence under 1 other name.
GAGGGUAUAGCUCAGUGGUAGAGCGUGUGCUUAGCAUGCACAAGGUCCUGGGUUCAAUCCCCAGUACCUUCA